RNAcentral lists this ribosomal RNA (491 nucleotides) under uncultured soil bacterium. Its description in RNAcentral is "bacterial SSU rRNA". It matches the Rfam family "Bacterial small subunit ribosomal RNA", at positions 26 to 515 of the family's 1533-position model. The record is from RNAcentral.
AGAUUGAACGCUGGCGGCAGGCCUAACACAUGCAAGUCGAGCGGUAGAGAGGUGCUUGCAUCUCUUGAGAGCGGCGGACGGGUGAGUAAUGCCUAGGAAUCUGCCUAGUGGUGGGGGAUAACGUUCGGAAACGGACGCUAAUACCGCAUACGUCCUACGGGAGAAAGCGGGGGACCUUCGGGCCUCGCGCCAUUAGAUGAGCCUAGGUCGGAUUAGCUAGUUGGUGAGGUAAUGGCUCACCAAGGCGACGAUCCGUAACUGGUCUGAGAGGAUGAUCAGUCACACUGGAACUGAGACACGGUCCAGACUCCUACGGAGGCAGCAGUGGGGAAUAUUGGACAAUGGGCGAAAGCCUGAUCCAGCCAUGCCGCGUGUGUGAAGAAGGUCUUCGGAUUGUAAAAGCACUUUAAGUUGGAGGAAGGCAGUUACCUAAUACGUAUCUGUUUUGACGUUACGACAGAAUAAGCACCGGCUAACUCUGUGACAGCACG